UAAGUUGGAGCAUUUAAAUAAAAUGUAAUCCUCUUUGCCCCGUGUCAGCAUUUGGUUGGCUAUGAGAAGAUAACACUAUCUUUUUUCAACCACUCACACAUGGACACAUGUCCCACUCACCCUCUCUCUUCCUUUUCUCUUCCUUUUUCCUUUCUUUUCUUUUCUUUUUCUCUUCUUUUUCGGUGGACACCAGCAGCCCAUUCUCCUCGUCUUUUCCUUUUUCCUUUCUUUCCUCUCUUCUCUCACACUCACGCACAACUCCUCUUCUCUCUCCCUUUCUUCACACACACACGCACGUUGAGAGAGAGUUGGACCGAAAUGAGAGAGAGAGACCGAGAGAAAUCUGCAGAAAUUGAGGGAAAGCCCGAAAUGAGAGAUGCUGUCCGGCCAUGAGAGAAGAAGAAGAGAAGGAGAAGCAACGGUUCAUGGGUUCCGGCCAUGGGCCUUUGUGGGGAUAGUGUCCGGAUUGGAGACUUCAAUGGGUUCUCUAAUGUAGAGUUCGAGUCAUGAGUUUAAUGCAGCCCAGAUGAUGUUUCUUUGGCUGCAGAUAUUCCGGUCGUAGUUGAUGGUGUUGUAGUAGUAUACUUGGGAUAUUACGACUGAAGCUCGCCGCGACGGUUGUAAUUGUCGGACCAUGGGUUGUCCACUAUUUUAUAGGUACAUAUUAUGGGGUAUGUAAAUAUGUUGGCUUUGCGACAUAUCAUCGUGCCACUGUGAAGAUCCGUUUAUAUUUUAAGGGAUUAAUGAUUAUGUGGAUGUUUUGUAUAAAAAAAAAAAAAAAAAAAAAAAAAAAAAAAAAAAAAACGGGUCGUCACAACACGGUUGGCUAGGAGAGAGAUAACAUUAUCUCCUCCCAAGUACCCACAAGUGAACAAGUGUCCCACUCACUCUCUCUCUCUCUCUUCCCCUUUGUCUUUCUUUUUUCUCUCUCAUUUUUUCCCCUCUCACAAGACCUGAUGCAAACCAAGGAGCUGGACAUAUUGAUCAUACAUGUGGGAAUGGAGCUGAAGUUGCACAAGACCUUUUGUCACUUCCUAGUGGCCCAAUUACAAGACUUAGAGCCAAACGUUUCAAGGAAGCACUAAAUGGGCUAAUCCAAGAGAAUUGGGCUGAUUCUAAAAAGACCAAGAUGGGCUCAAAUAAUAAUCAAGGCUUAGUCCAUGUCAUCAAAGCAAUUGAAGAGGCUAAUUAGCAUGCAAAAACGUGACCAUCAAGGUUUGACCAUUAAAGGGUGUGAAUUUGUUGAGUUUCAAGAAUAUUAAAUAGGGGAAUGAACUUGGUCUUGGCUGGUUAUGUUAAAAUAUAUUGAACUUAGUCAUUUAGUUAUUUUGUGGGGACUUGUUUAUGUUGUUGUUUGUGUUGCUUUUAAAGCUGUAGUUAUGAAAUUUCCUAUUCUUGGAGGGUUGUUCCAAGUAUAUA
Alnus glutinosa is the source of this 1419-nucleotide long non-coding RNA. RefSeq lists it as uncharacterized. The transcript has 4 exons. The record is from RefSeq and is a predicted model, not a curated record. Lineage: Eukaryota; Viridiplantae; Streptophyta; Magnoliopsida; Fagales; Betulaceae.